CCUACGGGGGGCAGCAGUGAGGAAUAUUGGUCAAUGGACGAGAGUCUGAACCAGCCAAGUAGCGUGAAGGAUGACUGCCCUAUGGGUUGUAAACUUCUUUUAUAUGGGAAUAAAAUGUUCCACGUGUGGGAUUUUGUAUGUACCAUAUGAAUAAGGAUCGGCUAACUCCGUGCCAGCAGCCGCGGUAAUACGGAGGAUCCGAGCGUUAUCCGGAUUUAUUGGGUUUAAAGGGAGCGUAGGUGGAUUGUUAAGUCAGUUGUGAAAGUUUGCGGCUCAACCGUAAAAUUGCAGUUGAAACUGACAGUCUUGAGUACAGUAGAGGUGGGCGGAAUUCGUGGUGUAGCGGUGAAAUGCGUAGAUAUCACGAAGAACUCCGAUUGCGAAGGCAGUUCACUGGACUGCAACUGACACUGAGGCUCGAAAGUGUGGGUAUCAAACAGGAUUAGAUACCCGAGUAGUC
RNAcentral lists this ribosomal RNA (460 nucleotides) under uncultured bacterium. Its description in RNAcentral is "partial 16S ribosomal RNA". It matches the Rfam family "Bacterial small subunit ribosomal RNA", at positions 338 to 795 of the family's 1533-position model. The record is from RNAcentral.